This 1011-nucleotide long non-coding RNA is filed under the name Monodelphis domestica (gray short-tailed opossum). RNAcentral describes it as "lncRNA (ENSMODG00000042997.1)". The record is from RNAcentral. Lineage: Eukaryota; Metazoa; Chordata; Mammalia; Didelphimorphia; Didelphidae.
AUGGGGGGGGGGUGUGGGCGUGCCCUUCCGGCUCCGGCCGUCGGGGUGCAUCUCCAGGAAGCAACUUUCAGCCCGGGGUGCCACCAGAGGAGCUGGAGAGCUCUGGGCGGCUGGGCCAAGCCUGGAGCCCACGAGGAGACCCCAGAAAGAGGCUCGCUUGGUCCGUGGCCAGCCAUGUCCAGCAGGGGGCGCUUCCGAAGAAGGAGGGAGGGGGCUGCCGCCUCCCCACCCGGCGCCCGAGGCACUGAGGACCCACCACACAGGCUCCUGCAGGCUCCUGCGCCCUCCCCUCCGGGCCAUCACCCAGCCGGCAACCUCCGUUUGGCCGGCUCAGCUCCCAGGGCGCCUCGGGGAGCCUCAGCCACAGCCGCCUCCGCCCCGGGGCUCCCCUGUCUCUCCCUCAGCCUCGCUGCUCCAGGCGGCCCCACGUGCCUGCCCUGCUCCGCGCUCUUCUUCCUCGUCCGGGCCUGUGUGCGAGGUUCUCCCCUCUCGCGGGGCUCCGGAGAGGGCAGAGGAAGGAGCCUCCCUCCCACAGACCGCCGCAGGGACCGGGCGAGGCUGGGGUCUGAGUGCAUCGUGGGGGGUCAAGCCGAGCCCUUGGAAGGGCAUUGUGGGGCGCAGGCGAGCCCCCACAUGUUUCCUGGAGGGGGGCCAGCAUCGGGGUUGCUCCUAGCAGGGGCCUCAGGAACAGCUGCUUCCCUCCCUCCCCCACCGAGGAAGCCCGGACUGGAGGGCUGGAACGACACGCCUGAGGCACCGGGGCAGCCCCAGUGGGCCUACCCGAAGGAUCCUCCAAGCUUUCUCCUGGCCCAAGGACAGCUCCCGUUUCCAUGGCAGCCAUCAUUGCCAUUUUACAGAGGGGGAAACGGAGGUUCAGAGACUUACUCCGGUCACAGAGCCAGGAGUGCCUGGGGCAGGAUUGGAACCCAGCUCUCUUCUGAUUCUGAGCUCAGCUUCCACUGUUUUACGCUGCCAGCUUUGGGCUUCCUGGGCUUGUGCCAAUUCCCAUGA